GUGCUCUGGCUUCUCUUCAAGAUCGUGUUAAUCUUUCGCCUUUUACUAAAGAUUACCGUGGAGAGGAACAACUUAAUGAGACUUUCCCUAAUUUUUGGAAUCUCACUUCGGUGAGAU
Argiope bruennichi is the source of this 117-nucleotide small nuclear RNA. RefSeq annotates it as U5 spliceosomal RNA. The record is from RefSeq and is a predicted model, not a curated record. NCBI's taxonomy places the organism in Eukaryota, Metazoa, Arthropoda, Arachnida, Araneae, Araneidae. The transcript has a single exon.